Molecule: unclassified non-coding RNA, 396 nt
Filed under: Hevea brasiliensis (rubber tree)
Lineage: Eukaryota; Viridiplantae; Streptophyta; Magnoliopsida; Malpighiales; Euphorbiaceae
Source: RNAcentral
GAGAAAGGCUUGUGGAGAUGUCAGGAGGAGAGUAUAGUGAUCGCAAUGUGCUAUUGCGUUCGAGUUCAUCGGCGUCGGAUGGAGAUUUAGAAGGUCAGUUUCCGCAUAGGACUGGUAAUAAAGGCAUUACUGAUCUGUUGAAGCGAUUGGAUCGAGGAUUUUCGAAUAGAAGACUAUCGAGUGUAAAGCGGUCUGAUAGGGAUCAAUCGUCAUCUUCUGAUCACGGUGUUUCUUCUAGCGUUACUGGUAAUUAUAGAGAUGAUGAGAUUCUCGGCAAUAGUGCCCCACCGGAGUGGGCAUUGCUGCUUGUUGGAUGUCUACUUGGCCUAGCUACUGGCCUUUGUGUUGCGGGUUUUAAUCGUGGGGUUAGUCAGGAUUCUUUUAGUUUUCAUUGUG